This 521-nucleotide ribosomal RNA is filed under the name uncultured bacterium. Its description in RNAcentral is "partial 16S ribosomal RNA". It matches the Rfam family "Bacterial small subunit ribosomal RNA", at positions 29 to 523 of the family's 1533-position model. The record is from RNAcentral.
AACGAACGCUGGCGGCGUGCCUAACACAUGCAAGUCGAGCGUGAAAGUCCCUUCGGGGGCGAGUAAAGCGGCAGACGGGUGAGUAAUACAUAGGUAAUCUACCUUCGAGAUUGGGAUAACCCCGCGAAAGUGGGGCUAAUACCGGAUAAGACCACGUGACUUACGUUGCGCGGUAAAAGGUGGCUUUUUCUUCGGAUGAGGCUAUCACUUGAGGAUGAGCCUAUGGCCUAUCAGCUUGUUGGCGGGGUAAGAGCCCACCAAGGCUAUGACGGGUAGUUGGUCUGAGAGGAACUCCAACCACACUGGAACUGAGACACGGUCCAGACUCCUACGGGAGGCAGCAGUGGGGAAUAUUGGGCAAUGGGCGAAAGCCUGACCCAGCGACGCCGCGUGGGUGAUGAAGGCCUUCGGGUUGUAAAGCCCUGUCAUGCGGAAAGAACAGUCUCAUGGCUAAUAUCCAUGAGAUUUGACGGUACCGCAGGAGGAAGCACCGGCUAACUCCGUGCCAGCCGCCGCCGUAA